CAGCAGCCACGGGAACACGUAGGGUGCAAGCGUUAAUCGGAAUUACUGGGCGUAAAGCGUGCGCAGGCGGUUAUAUAAGACAGAUGUGAAAUCCCCGGGCUCAACCUGGGAACUGCAUUUGUGACUGUAUAGCUAGAGUACGGCAGAGGGGGAUGGAAUUCCGCGUGUAGCAGUGAAAUGCGUAGAUAUGCGGAGGAACACCGAUGGCGAAGGCAAUCCCCUGGGCCUGUACUGACGCUCAUGCACGAAAGCGUGGGGAGCAAACAGGAUUAGAUACCCGGUAGUCCCUGUCUCUUAUACA
This 301-nucleotide ribosomal RNA is filed under the name uncultured bacterium. Its description in RNAcentral is "partial 16S ribosomal RNA". It matches the Rfam family "Bacterial small subunit ribosomal RNA", at positions 509 to 808 of the family's 1533-position model. The record is from RNAcentral.